This is a long non-coding RNA of Quercus robur (English oak), 1062 nucleotides long. RefSeq lists it as uncharacterized. NCBI's taxonomy places the organism in Eukaryota, Viridiplantae, Streptophyta, Magnoliopsida, Fagales, Fagaceae. The record is from RefSeq and is a predicted model, not a curated record. The transcript is spliced from 3 exons.
UCAACUCUUUCUCUCAAAAUUUUUUUGUCUUUCAAAGAGUUCAGCCCUCAGCCCCUCCUCUUCUCUCAUCGCUCCAUGCCUCCACAUGCCGCCUCCACACAUCGGCCUUCCUGCACCAGCCUCCACGGCCUCCACACGCUAGUCUCCACACGCCGGGCUCCCAACGCCGGCUAAUCUUUUCAUAUUCACGGAAACUUUUUUUGGGUGGAGUCAGGAGGAGUCCAAUCCGUUAGUGUGCAACAUAGGCCCAGUCUGAGAUUUACUUAAGUAGGAAUACUUAGACCCAACGGAAACCCAGCACACUUAAGCCUUUUUCCCUCGAGCUACUGCAGCCCAAACUCUAUCAAACCCACACACAAAGCCCAACUGGCAUUAAAAGCCCCAUUUAAUUAAAAACCUUAAACCCACUCCACUCAGAUUCCCUCUAACACCACUCGGCCCAUCAGUUUUUCCAAAACCUUCAAAUAAAAUAAAACCAGCUCACAUGAAUCCCAAUUCAACCCCAAAAUUUACCAACAAUCCAAAGGCUAAAAAAACCCCCAAGUCAUUCUCUCUCAAUUACUCAGAAGUUUUCACAGCCCAAGCAAACCCACUAGGCAGUAUCAUACAUACACCCAUUUGUCCACCGCCUCCCUCCUAAUAUAUAACAACACAAACACAAGCACAAACAAGCAAUACGCUCUCUGCUCUCUCUUUUUCAUAGUCGUCCGUUUGUUUGGCUUGCGUCGCUCCGUUUCUAUCGGAUCCACUCUUCGCAAAGCAAAUUGCAAUUUGGUGAUUUGCUCUCUCUUGGUGCAUUGCAACUUUUGGAUUUGAUUUGUGGCUCUCUUUUUGGUUUGUGCGCAAUUGGUAUUUGACAUUCUGUAUUCGUAUUUGGUAUUUGUGAACCUUUGGGUCUUUGAUUCAUAUUUGGUUCUUUGGUUUUGUAUUUGUGAGAAAGAGUUAUUUGGGUGUAUUUGGGAUUUGGGUUUAUGAGAGUAUCUCUACACCAAUUUGUAUCAUCUCAAAUUUGUCAUAGUGAAAUUUGUUCGUUGUCACCCGUGGAUGUAGGCUAUUGCCGAA